RNAcentral lists this ribosomal RNA (253 nucleotides) under uncultured bacterium. RNAcentral describes it as "partial 16S ribosomal RNA". It matches the Rfam family "Bacterial small subunit ribosomal RNA", at positions 524 to 776 of the family's 1533-position model. The record is from RNAcentral.
UACGUAGGUGGCAAGCGUUGUCCGGAUUUACUGGGCGUAAAGGGCGUGCAGGCGGUCUGUUAAGUGCAGGGUGAAAGCUCCCGGCUCAACUGGGAGAGGUCCUUGCAUACUGGCGGACUUGAGGGGGGUAGAGGAAAGUGGAAUUCCCGGUGUAGUGGUGAUAUGCGUAGAUAUCGGGAGGAACACCUGUGGCGAAGGCGGCUUUCUGGGCCCUACCUGACGCUGAGACGCGAAAGCGUGGGGAGCGAACAGG